CAAAGCGUAGCUUAACAUUAAAGCCCCCGGCUUACACCCGAAAGAUAUCACCCAUACGAGAUCGCUUUGA
RNAcentral lists this transfer RNA (70 nucleotides) under Palaeopropithecus ingens (large sloth lemur). RNAcentral describes it as "tRNA-Val". The record is from RNAcentral. Lineage: Eukaryota; Metazoa; Chordata; Mammalia; Primates; Palaeopropithecidae.